UACGGGAGGCAGCAGUGGGGAAUAUUGCACAAUGGGCGAAAGCCUGAUGCAGCUAUGCCGCGUGUAUGAAGAAGGCCUUAGGGUUGUAAAGUACUUUCAUCGGGGAGGAAAAACAAAACUAAUAAUUUUAUUUCUUGACGUUACCCGAAAAAGAAGCACCGGCUAACUCCGUGCCAGCAGCCGCGGUAAUACGGAGGGUGCUAGCGUUAAUCAGAAUUACUGGGCGUAAAGAGCACGUAGGUGGUUUUUUUAAGUCUAGAUGUGAAAUCCCUGGGCUUAACCUAGGAACUGCAUUUUGAAACUGAAAUACUAGAGUAUCGUAGAGGGAGGUAGAAUUCUAGGUGUAGCGGUGAAAUGCGUAGAUAUCUGGAGGAAUACCUGUGGCGAAAGCGGCCUCCUAAACGAAUACUGACACUGAGGUGCGAAAGCGUGGGGAGCGAAACAGGGAUUAGAUACC
RNAcentral lists this ribosomal RNA (457 nucleotides) under uncultured bacterium. RNAcentral describes it as "bacterial SSU rRNA". It matches the Rfam family "Bacterial small subunit ribosomal RNA", at positions 340 to 786 of the family's 1533-position model. The record is from RNAcentral.